GAAAUGCGAUAAGUAGUGUGAAUUGCAGAAUUCAGUGAAUCAUCGAAUCUUUGAACGCACAUUGCGCCCUUUGGUAUUCCAAAGGGCAUGCCUGUUCGAGCGUCAUUUGUACCCUCAAGCUUUGCUUGGUGUUGGGCGUCUUGUCUCUAGCUUUGCUGGAGACUCGCCUUAAAGUAAUUGGCAGCCGGCCUACUGGUUUCGGAGCGCAGCACAAGUCGCACUCUCUAUCAGCAAAGGUCUAGCAUCCAUUAAGCCCUUUUUCAACUUUUGACCUCGGAUCAGGUAGGGAUACCCGCUGAACUUAAGC
RNAcentral lists this unclassified non-coding RNA (307 nucleotides) under plant metagenome. RNAcentral describes it as "partial contains 5.8S ribosomal RNA, internal transcribed spacer 2, and large subunit ribosomal RNA". The stretch from base 1 to 105 matches the Rfam family "5.8S ribosomal RNA", at positions 50 to 154 of the family's 154-position model. The record is from RNAcentral.